Molecule: long non-coding RNA, 342 nt
Organism: Ostrea edulis (European flat oyster)
Lineage: Eukaryota; Metazoa; Mollusca; Bivalvia; Ostreida; Ostreidae
Exons: 2
Source: RefSeq, a predicted model, not a curated record
CUCCUGGUUACUGGGGAUUAAAGUGUAACAACAUCUGUGGGUUCCCGUACUACGGAAUGCGCUGUUGGAACAUGUGUAACUGUUCCGAAAGUGAUUGUGAUCCAGCCUUAGGAUGCAAAACCUUAACUACUUUGGUAUCCCCAGCUUGUCCUCCUGGUUACUGGGGAAUAAAGUGCAACAACAUCUGCAAGUUCCCGUACUACGGAGUGCGCUGUUUGAACAUGUGUAACUGUUCCGAUAGUGAUUGCGACCCAACCUUAGGAUGCGAAACCUUAACGACCUUGACAUCCCCAGGUAUAACGUAUAACGUUUUAUUGAUAAAUAAAGUCGAUAUAUUCUCUA